Molecule: ribosomal RNA, 6060 nt
Filed under: Triticum aestivum (bread wheat)
Lineage: Eukaryota; Viridiplantae; Streptophyta; Magnoliopsida; Poales; Poaceae
Description: partial small subunit ribosomal RNA
Source: RNAcentral
GUUUAUUUGCACGGCGUGGCUUCGGGACUGAGUGGAUGACGUCUGGGCCACCCUUGCGCGCGGACCCAGCCGUGCAGUGUGUGCGUCGCGUGUGUGCUGGGUGGAAAAGGGGUGGGCUGAGCAGUCGUGGGUGUCAGGGCAUCGAACAUGGGGUUUGAUGGAUGAGAGAGAGAGGGAGUUAACCCCACCAUGCCCAUGUCUCUCUCGUCUCUCCCGUUCCAACCAAAUCCGGGGCUGGCGGCGGCAAACCCUAGCGCUGCGGCGGCGGCGGCGGCAGACCCUAGCGCCAUGGACUGGCCGGUGCAGGGGACGGCGAUCACGGCCGGUUGAUGACGGCGCCUCAGGUCCAUAAAGUGUUGGCUCCUCUCCAUCGUCAUGACCAGCACCAAAGGUGCGUAUUCCCGUCACCUGUUGCGUUCGGUGUCUCCGUACAUUUCAGCCCCGUUCGAUGCCUCUCCUCCAGCCACACGACGUUCAUUUGCCUCUUUCUCUUCCCUGUGGACGUCACCUCCCCACGUUCUGGAUGUACCAUGAUUCUGGAUCGGGCACAAGUCGCCCCAAUAGGAGAGCAGGUCUGGUGUGGUUUCAUGGUGGGUGUUGAGGAGCAGGGGGCUGGGGAGGGAGUCGGCCAUCACUGCCUACCACUGCUCACGAGUCGUCGUGCCCCAUCCCCAACCUAGACUGCACAUCUACAGCUUCGAUCGGAUGAAGAAUACAAGAGGAAGACUAAGAACAAGUUUAUUUGGUUGACAGUUUAUAACCUCAGCAAGGAGCACGUGACAUUGACGCCAUCACUGAGCUCAAGAUGGUGCCUUGCAAUGAUCAUUGCACUUCUCUUCCAUACAUCAGUGCCACUUCCAAAGCGGAGUGCCUCCUAGAGGAUAGUCUCUAUUAUCAGAAGGGUGAAGCAGCACAGAAGACAAAGAAGGCAUAUUGUGCGAGAGUGGCGAUGGCAUGGACGAGCUUGCCUGCUCCCAGUUCGGGUACCAAUGGGACAGCGACACGUUCUAGCUUGCACUGAAUGUGAUCGUAUAGAGACACGAUGGAUAUGCCCAAUCCUACAGUGGCGUAUGGAGCCGGCUUCGUGUGAGAUGACAGUGGGUUAGCGGUCCAUCAUGCACGUGUUCCGUUGGUACAAAUCUCUUCUCGCGGUACACAACGACUACCAUCAGUUGCGGCCCGGCGCGCAAACGUCGUCUUCCUAAUAAACAGAUAAGGGUGCACAACAUUGUGGAUCCAACCUUGCCGGCGACGCUGAGAAAAAAAGGCAAAUCUAUCCAUUCGGGCACCGCACGAGGCGAGAAGCUAGGAGCUAUGGUGAUGGCGGCGGCGGGAGGCGGGAGGCGGGAGGCGACGGAUUCGAGUUCCUAGCAGAUCCGGUUCACAGGGCAGUACAAAGUAGAGGAGGUCUGUAAAGGGAAAAUCUAUUUCGUGCGAUGAUACCAUCCAGAGAAACAUGAAAAGUGGUGCGGGAUGUGUACAAAGUGGAAGUUGUUGAGGAAGGGAGGGAACUGAUAUGUGAGUGUGCUAAUUUCGAGCACACAUUCUUGCUCUGCUGCCAUGCAGUUAAGGUCCUUGAUUUCGUCGGCAUAUACCAGAUACCAGCAAAACAUAUUCUGAAACGUUGGACAAAGGAUGCAAGAGAUGUAUUGUCAACCCACUUAUCACACCUUCAGAAGGAUAGCAUUUCAGUGAAUUCAAUAACCUUUAGGCACUCAAAUCUUCACACACAUGCACUCGAAGUGGUGAGGCUGGAGAUGCAAAUACAGAGGCCUAUGACUAUGAGUGUGCAAUGGACAUCUUGAAGAUAGCAAUGGAUAAACUGACACCAAUAGCCGCCAUGCGAGAUGGAAUGUGAUUGCAUUGGAAGACAAAAUUCAGCCAAACAAGAGAUGUCUACACCUGAUUCAGGCGGGGGCUCUGUUAGCCAUGUGUCUUCCAGCUCUAGCUCGAGUGCCCUUGCAGUCAGCGAUGAGCAUGACCGGCAUCUUCAGUUCUUGCCAUCUGAUGAUCAUGUCGCUGGCGGCAGUGCUCCAGGGCAUGCGGCUUUCGUGCAGGUCGGUGAUUGAGGAUACCGUGUACGGGAGGGCUGAUGGUGUAUCGAUGGAAGAUGAAGGUUGCGAAGAUGAGUCACAAGUCCAGUCCCGUUCUUCAACCGUGGAAGAGGUGGGUACCUAUGAUCCAGAAAAUCAGAGCUACGCCGGCGGUGAUAACCAGGGGCGAACCCACGUUAUGGUGAGUGGGGGCCUAGGCACCCACUGAAAAUAUGAAAUUUCGGUCCGCCACUGGUGAUAACUGGUCCGAGACAGGAAGCUACUCCGAGUUAAGGACCAAGGUUGCUGAUGGAUCCAUCAGCGGCGUCGAUGGUGAGAGACGCGCAGCAAAGCGAGCAAGAGUUGAGGACUGAUGUGUUCCGAAGAUGCUUAAAGCUGUUACCCUUAGUAACCGCUGAACUCAGCGGUGAAAUCCUAGACUAAAAAAGGUGUUUGUGUUAAGAUUAGUGGCGUACAAGUUUGCGCCAGUGUGCUGCGGCGGGUUCAAUGUCGAUCUAGGAGUCCUGGUAGGUUUGUGUGGAAAAAAUAAAAGGAGGUUAGGUUUUGGUUUGUCGAAAUCCACGUAUGUUGAUUAGAUUAUGUUUUCAUGUGUGGUGUCUGCCCCCAAUGACUCGUCAACUCAUGCUCGUUUGCAACUUUGGUACAUCGAACAUAUAAAUCGUCGUAGACUACCCGCCGUUCUGAGGGCGUUGCGCGCGCCAGACAUUUUUGACCGCCCGAUAAAGUUACAACAGUGAAAUUUUGUCUGGUGGCGGCUGGUCAACCGUCCGCUAAUUUUCACAUUCACUGCCGCUUCAAUGGAGUAUGAAGGGUGGGGUCGUGAGCCUGUAGGGUCAGCAAACUAAGGGUGGGUUUAUUUGAGGGCUACGUGAAUGAAUGGAUGAGGGUGGGCUGUUCCCGAUUGGCAAGGGCGAGAGAGCGGCUUGAAGAGCCACGACCAAUCCUUUCCCGAAAACGUAGCGCAAAAGGGACCAAUCAUAUAAGCAGAGUAUUCCAGAUUGAGUAAUGCUAGAGAUAUAGACACAUUCUAUAUACAUUUUGAUGUUUUAGCUUCCAUAGUGAGAGCAAGUUACAAGACCAGAUGCGAUCUUAUAUUUCAGAGUUUUGUAAAUUUCUUAGUCGGUGGAUCUGACUAAUGCAUAUAUAUUUGUGAGAGGUAUUAUUCAUAUGUCAAUUUUGUAAUUUGAGUAGGCUGAAACUAAUGGUUUCAGAUGGUCUGCGUAUUAACUUUGAUCAGAACCUGUAUCUAAAGAAACUGAGUAGAGGGUCGCCUUUUAUGAUGGAAUUUGCAGCAGGUGUGAUCCCUUGCUCGUGCUCUCUGCUUGUCCUCAUGCUAGACCUACCCUUUGCUUGUCGCCCUACAUUUUAUUCAGAGCGGUGUCAGGACUCAUCUCCGGCGCCUACAUGGCGGGCAGAGGGCCUAAGCUCUAGAUGAGCUCCUCUUCACCCUGCAAGUGUUGUGUUACUCUGCUAUUUUUAUUAUCUCAACAUUUCUAAUUUUAUGAGUCCGAGAUUACUUGAAUGAUUCGUGGGAAUUGGAAUGUGGGGAUAAGAAUUUUUCUAAAGAAAAACCCAGUAUCAACAUGUUAUAUCGAGGGCCUUGAAAGCUAAUGGUGUCGCAAGAUGUCUUUUUUUCACCUUUUCAUUUUUGUUGGGAGAAAGGCGAUGCUCUUUCUUGGUCAAAAGGAUGGUAAUCUCUCACAGAUACUUUGUUAUGUCUUAUACAAUAAUAUGCUGACAAAUCACAUGCUGAAUAACCUUUAUCCUCAUCUGUAGUACUUUAGGACACACUUUUCUAAGAACAGCCUCUUCCCACACAUGGAUGCUGAUCAUGGUGAGCUGCCAAUAAGCACUGGAGACGGAACUACCAGUGUCACGUCCCGUUUUAUAAAGGGUGUUGACAACAGGGCUACUAUCACUAAAAACUGGAGCAGCUUUUUCGUAAGGCAAAGAUGAAGAAAGGCCAUGCCUAUGCCUUCGCCUUCAAGUGCACAUCAAAGGGGUUGCACAUGAUUGUCUAUCCUAUCCUAUAUAAGCAGAUCGCAAAAGCCCUUUGCUUUAUAACUCAAUAUUAGUAUAAGUACCUACCAAGACUUCUAUAUUUAGCAUCCUUUUGGAUCGUAUGUAAGCCACCUAAGAUCAUCCUGUAUCGUAUGACUAUUGGUUGUUUGCUGGUAAGACCAUCAUGAAGUGUGCUUUUGGGGCAGCAGUGCAGAAAGAAAUAUCUUCCUGUAUCUGUUGGAUGUUUUUCCCUCUGUUACAGAUCAGCACUAGGUUCUCUUAAAACACUAUUUAUCAGCACUAAGUUUCUAUUUGCUUAUGAUCUAAUCAGUGUUCAAUUUUUUAUGUCUUUAGACUGAUCCUACUACAACUUGCUUUGUCAAACCAAUGUAUGCUAUUAUCAGUAAUGUCAUUACUUCCUUUUCAUCUGUCAUGAUACCAUAUAAUGAGAUAAAAGUAUAUCUCUUAAACUAGCACAUACACAUGGUUUGAAGACUCGUCUGACCGAUGCUUUUUGCGCCAUUGGCGCAAUGAGUCAUGCCAGCUUUUGAGUAUAUUCAUCGCCCACGCAAAGCAAGCUCAAUCCGAAAGUUCAAAGGCAAGAAAAUCCAUCUAAAGUCUGGAAAGUACAUUCUCCAUGGUGAGCCUUGCAUCCACUACUUAGAUGAGUUUAGUCACCACAUUGUGUGGGGCAACACAGUUACGCUCUACAACCAUAAUGUUCGUAGACUGCGAAAGAUCAUCUGCAGCACCACCACGCCUGAUCGCUACUAUGUGUGCCACAUGACAGAGACAUUUGCAACACACGGCAAAAGAAUGUUGUAGCAUUUAUUACAAAUGGGGAAGUAGUUCAUGGGUCUGGUCUUAAAAGUGAUGAUGACGACAAGAGUUGUCUCUUGAAUGUGAUUAUCCAGUCAUUAUGGCAUUUAAGGGGAUUCCGAGAUGAUCUGCUCAAAACAUCGUCACACCAUAAACAUGUUGGAGAUCCUGGUGCUGUUUCUUGUGUUGUAUGUGUGUUAUGUCAUAUUUUUACCGAGUUGAGCAAAGUAUCUAAGGGGGAAGGAGAGGCUGUUGCACCUACUUCUUUGAGGAUGGCUUUGAGCAUCUCAUUCCCCGCUGAGAAGUUAAUUCGGAUGGGACAAAUGAAUGAUGCAUCUGAGGUAUUGGAGGCAAUCUUAAGACGCAUGCAUGAUUCAUUCACAUAUCGUGCUGACUACCUUGCUGAAUCUCACGAGCGCAAUUGUAGUGGCUCAUGGGACUGUGCAAACGAUGAAUGCAUCGCACACGAUAUGUUCGGUGCAGACGUCCAUGAAAGGAUGAUCUGCUACAAUUGCGGGUUGGAGUCUAGACAACAAAAAUAUACAUCAUUUCUCCAUUAUAUCAAUGCUUGUUCACUUAAUUAUGCAAUGAGGAUCUGUCCAGGCAAUUCAUUUGAUGAUAUUUUGAAGGCUGUGAUGAUGGAUGUCCACAGAACUUGUGAUCCUGAUGUGGGUGGCUGUGGAAAAUCAAAUCAUAUGAGCCACACUCUCUCUAGUUCCCCUUAUGUUUUCACAGUUGCUUUGGGAUGGCAGACUGGAAAUGGGAGUGUGAGGGACAUGCUACCUCAUAUUUUGGCUGCCCUUGGGACUGAGAUAGACAUCAGCGUUAUCUACCGCGGUACAAGUCGACCGAGCAAACAUUCCCUGGUGUCAAUGGCUUGCUUCUACGGCCAGCGCUAUAUCUGAGGUUGUUGGUGAUUGGAUUCAAGUGCUCAGUAUGUGCGAGGAAAAGGAAAUGCAACCCCUGCUUCUUUUCUUCGAAGCUGCAAAUUGAUUUACUGUUCUUCUGCCGAAAAGUUUUGGCUUAAGGAAGUAUGUUGAUUUGCCAUGAAGCGUUGGAAUGCUCUUUUUAGUUUUGACAUAUUAGUCUAGUUAAAUUGUUAACUGUGUCUCUUUUAUGGUUUAUGGUUUAUGAUUGGUCCACCGCAUCUCGUCUAAUCGCCUAUAUAGAACUUGGUGCAAAGUGU